RNAcentral lists this ribosomal RNA (253 nucleotides) under uncultured bacterium. RNAcentral's name for it is "partial 16S ribosomal RNA". It matches the Rfam family "Bacterial small subunit ribosomal RNA", at positions 524 to 776 of the family's 1533-position model. The record is from RNAcentral.
UACGUAGGCAGCAAGCGUUGUUCGGAAUUACUGGGCGUAAAGAGUGUGUAGGCGGUGCUCUAAGUCUGUUGUGAAAUCUCCCGGCUUAACCGGGAGGGUGCGGCAGAAACUGGAGUGCUUGAGGGUGGGAGAGGUAAGCGGAAUUCCUGGUGUAGCGGUGAAAUGCGUAGAUAUCAGGAGGAACACCUGUGGUGUAGACAGCUUACUGGACCACUUCUGACGCUGAGACACGAAAGCGUGGGUAGCAAACAGG